GGCGUUAAGUUGCAGGGUAUAGACCCGAAACCCGGUGAUCUAGCCAUGGGCAGGUUGAAGGUUGGGUAACACUAACUGGAGGACCGAACCGACUAAUGUUGAAAAAUUAGCGGAUGACCUGUGGCUGGGGGUGAAAGGCCAAUCAAACCGGGAGAUAGCUGGUUCUCCCCGAAAGCUAUUUAGGUAGCGCCUCGUGAACUCAUCUCCGGGGGUAGAGCACUGUUUCGGCUAGGGGGCCAUCCCGGCUUACCAACCCGAUGCAAACUGCGAAUACCGGAGAAUGUUAUCACGGGAGACACACGGCGGGUGCUAACGUCCGUCGUGAAGAGGGAAACAACCCAGACCGCCAGCUAAGGUCCCAAAGUCAUGGUUAAGUGGGAAACGAUGUGGGAAGGCCCAGACAGCCAGGAUGUUGGCUUAGAAGCAGCCAUCAUUUAAAGAAAGCGUAAUAGCUCACUGGUCGAGUCGGCCUGCGCGGAAGAUGUAACGGGGCUAAACCAUGCACCGAAGCUGCGGCAGCGACAUUUAGGUGUUGUUGGGUAGGGGAGCGUUCUGUAAGCCUGUGAAGGUGGCCUGUGAGGGUUGCUGGAGGUAUCAGAAGUGCGAAUGCUGACAUAAGUAACGAUAAAGCGGGUGAAAAGCCCGCUCGCCGGAAGACCAAGGGUUCCUGUCCAACGUUAAUCGGGGCAGGGUGAGUCGACCCCUAAGGCGAGGCCGAAAGGCGUAGUCGAUGGGAAACGGGUUAAUA
Molecule: ribosomal RNA, 748 nt
Filed under: Salmonella enterica subsp. enterica serovar Napoli
Lineage: Bacteria; Pseudomonadati; Pseudomonadota; Gammaproteobacteria; Enterobacterales; Enterobacteriaceae
Description: partial 23S ribosomal RNA
Rfam family: Bacterial large subunit ribosomal RNA
Source: RNAcentral